GACGAACGCUGGCGGCGUGCUUAACACAUGCAAGUCGAACGGCAAGGCCCUGCUUUUGUGGGGUGCUCGAGUGGCGAACGGGUGAGUAACACGUGAGUAACCUGCCCUUGACUUUGGGAUAACUUCAGGAAACUGGGGCUAAUACCGUAUAGGAUCUCCUGCUGCGUGGUGGGGGUUGGAAAGUUUCGGCGGUUGGGGAUGGACGCGCGGCUUAUCAGCUUGUUGGUGGGGUAGUGGCUUACCAAGGCUUUGACGGGUAGCCGGCCUGAGAGGGUGACCGGCCACAUUGGGACUGAGAUACGGCCCAGACUGCAACGGGAGGCAGCAGGGGGGAAUAUUGCACAGUGGGCGGAAGCCUGAGGCAGCAACGCCGCGGGCGGGAUGACGGCCUUCGGGUUGUAAACCGCUUUCGCCUGUGACGAAGCGUGAGUGACGGUAAUGGGUAAAGAAGCACCGGCUAACUACGUG
RNAcentral lists this ribosomal RNA (468 nucleotides) under uncultured bacterium. RNAcentral's name for it is "partial 16S ribosomal RNA". It matches the Rfam family "Bacterial small subunit ribosomal RNA", at positions 28 to 507 of the family's 1533-position model. The record is from RNAcentral.